Molecule: ribosomal RNA, 253 nt
Filed under: uncultured bacterium
Lineage: Bacteria
Description: partial 16S ribosomal RNA
Rfam family: Bacterial small subunit ribosomal RNA
Source: RNAcentral
GACAUAGGUUGCGAACGUUAUCCGGAAUUAUUGGGCGUAAAGGGUGCGUAGGCGGCCCUGUAAGUCAGUGCUGAAAUAUCCCAGCUUAACUGGGAGGGUGGCAUUGAUACUGCGGGGCUAGAGUACAGAUGAGGUAGGCGGAAUUGACGGUGUAGCGGUGAAAUGCUUAGAUAUCGUCAAGAACACCUAUAGCGAAGGCAGCUUACUAGGCUGUAACUGACGCUGAGGCACGAAAGUGUGGGGAUCAAACAGG